AGAGUUUGAUCCUGGCUCAGGACGAACGCUGGCGGCGUGCUUAACACAUGCAAGUCGAGCGGUAAGGCCUUUCGGGGUACACGAGCGGCGAACGGGUGAGUAACACGUGGGUGAUCUGCCCUGCACUUCGGGAUAAGCCUGGGAAACUGGGUCUAAUACCGGAUAUGACCUCCUAUCGCAUGGUGGGUGGUGGAAAGAUUUAUCGGUGCAGGAUGGGCCCGCGGCCUAUCAGCAUGUUGGUGGGGUAAUGGCCUACCAAGGCGACGACGGGUAGCCGACCUGAGAGGGUGACCGGCCACACUGGGACUGAGACACGGCCCAGACUCCUACGGGAGGCAGCAGUGGGGAAUAUUGCACAAUGGGCGAAAGCCUGAUGCAGCGACGCCGCGUGAGGGAUGACGGCCUUCGGGUUGUAAACCUCUUUCAGCAGGGACGAAGCGCAAGUGACGGUACCUGCAGAAGAAGCACCGGCUAACUACGUGCCAGCAGCCGCGGUAAUACGUAGGGUGCAAGCGUUGUCCGGAAUUACUGGGCGUAAAGAGUUCGUAGCGGUUGUCGAGUCCUUUGUGAAAACC
Molecule: ribosomal RNA, 575 nt
Filed under: uncultured Rhodococcus sp.
Lineage: Bacteria; Bacillati; Actinomycetota; Actinomycetes; Mycobacteriales; Nocardiaceae
Description: bacterial SSU rRNA
Rfam family: Bacterial small subunit ribosomal RNA
Source: RNAcentral